ACGCUUGACACCUACGGGAGGAGCAGUGGGGAAUAUUGCACAAUGGGGGAAACCCUGAUGCAGCGACGCCGCGUGGAGGAAGAAGGUCUUCGGAUUGUAAACUCCUGUUGUUGGGGAAAAAGAGGAUGGUACCCAACAAGGAAGUGACGGCUAACUACGUGCCAGCAGCCGCGGUAAUCUGAGCGGGCUGGCAAGGC
Molecule: ribosomal RNA, 197 nt
Filed under: uncultured bacterium
Lineage: Bacteria
Description: partial 16S ribosomal RNA
Rfam family: Bacterial small subunit ribosomal RNA
Source: RNAcentral